GACGAACGCUGGCGGCGUGCUUAACACAUGCAAGUCGAACGGAAAGGCCCUGCUUUUGUGGGGUGCUCGAGUGGCGAACGGGUGAGUAACACGUGAGUAACCUGCCCUUGACUUUGGGAUAACUUCAGGAAACUGGGGCUAAUACCGGAUAGGGGCUCCUGCUGCAUGGUGGGGGUUGGAAAGUUUCGGCGGUUGGGGAUGGACUCGCGGCUUAUCAGCUCGUUGGUGGGGUAGUGGCUUACCAAGGCUUUGACGGGUAGCCGGCCUGAGAGGGUGACCGGCCACAUUGGGACUGAGAUACGGCCCAGACUCCUACGGGAGGCAGCAGUGGGGAAUAUUGCACAAUGGGCGGAAGCCUGAUGCAGCAACGCCGCGUGCGGGAUGACGGCCUUCGGGUUGUAAACCGCUUUCGCCUGUGACGAAGCGUGAGUGACGGUAAUGGGUAAAGAAGCACCGGCUAACUACGUGCCAGCAGCCGCGGUGAUACGUAGGGUGCGAGCGUUGUCCGGAUUUAUUGGGCGUAAAGGGCUCGUAGGUGGUUGAUCGCGUCGGAAGUGUAAUCUUGGGGCUUAACCCUGAGCGUGCUUUCGAUACGGGUUGACUUGAGGAAGGUAGGGGAGAAUGGAAUUCCUGGUGGAGCGGUGGAAUGCGCAGAUAUCAGGAGGAACACCAGUGGCGAAGGCGGUUCUCUGGGCCUUUCCUGACGCUGAGGAGCGAAAGCGUGGGGAGCGAACAGGCUUAGAUACCCUGGUAGUCCACGCUGUAAACGGUGGGUACUAGGUGUGGGGUCCAUUCCACGGGUUCCGUGCCGUAGCUAACGCUUUAAGUACCCCGCCUGGGGAGUACGGCCGCAAGGCUAAAACUCAAAGGAAUUGACGGGGCCCCGCACAAGCGGCGGAGCAUGCGGAUUAAUUCGAUGCAACGCGUAGAACCUUACCUGGGUUUGACAUGGAUCGGGAGUGCUCAGAGAUGGGUGUGCCUCUUUUGGGGUCGGUUCACAGGUGGUGCAUGGCUGUCGUCAGCUCGUGUCGUGAGAUGUUGGGUUAAGUCCCGCAACGAGCGCAACCCUUGUUCACUGUUGCCAGCACGUUAUGGUGGGGACUCAGUGGAGACCGCCGGGGUCAACUCGGAGGAAGGUGGGGAUGACGUCAAGUCAUCAUGCCCCUUAUGUCCAGGGCUUCACGCAUGCUACAAUGGCUGGUACAGUGAGUGGCGAGCCUGUGAGGGUGAGCGAAUCUCGGAAAGCCGGUCUCAGUUCGGAUUGGGGUCUGCAACUCGACCUCAUGAAGUCGGAGUCGCUAGUAAUCGCAGAUCAGCAACGCUGCGGUGAAUACGUUCCCGGG
RNAcentral lists this ribosomal RNA (1343 nucleotides) under uncultured bacterium. Its description in RNAcentral is "16S ribosomal RNA". It matches the Rfam family "Bacterial small subunit ribosomal RNA", at positions 28 to 1378 of the family's 1533-position model. The record is from RNAcentral.